AUCCGCUGCUGCGCUCUCUACAGCAGUGACACCCGCCCUCCUUUCGUGUGUGUGUGUGUGUGUGUGCAUCACCUGUUUCUCGUCACUGGUGCCGUUGUGCAUUUUUUUGGGGGCGCCCGUCUCUCACUCUCUCCCUCCCUCUUCGUCGAAUCAUUCGCAUCUGAUCCCCCCGUCCGACCUCACGCCAGCCACCACCACCCCCUGUGACUAGCGAAAGCCGAUGGUGUACGCACUGCUGGAGCUGCCCGCUGGCGUGGCGCUGUUCAAAGUGGACGGCGAGAGGCGUAAGCUGAAGGCGCUGCUGCAUUUCAAGAGCACCGCCGAUGCGCUCGAGACGACGGCGCAGCUCGUGAACGGUGAGCUGUCGAAGCCGGUGCGCAAGUUCCUGAAGAAGAACUACCUGGAGAAGGAGGUGUCCGAGGAGCUGGCGGUGGCCGAUGCGAAGCUGGCCAAGGCUAUCAAGGAGAAACUCGCCAUCCCGUGUGUGUCCGGCGAAGACACGCUCCCAACCUUCCGUGCGCUUAAGCAGAACAUCGACAGCCUCCUCGAGGACGUCUCGGCGGAGCAGCUGAACCAGACGGCGCUCGGUCUGGCACACAACCUCAACCGGUACAAGCUGAAAUUCUCCCCUGAUAAGGUGGAUAUGAUGGUUGUGCAGGCGGUGUCGCUCCUCGAGGACCUUGACAAGGAGAUCAACAAGUACGCCAUGCGCGCGCGCGAGUGGUACGGCUGGCACUUCCCCGAGCUGGGCAAGACCGUGAAUGACAACGUGGCUUACUGCAAGAUCGUCCUGGCCAUGAAGACGCGCUUCAACGCCCGCGAUACGGACUUCUCCGACUUUCUCGAGGAGGAGACGGAGCAGAGAGUGAAGGAGGCGGCGAUGGUGUCAAUGGGCACGGAGAUUGCGGAGGAGGACAUCGAGAACAUCUCGAGGCUGUGCAACGAGGUCGUCGCGGCCUCGAAGUACCGCGAGCAGCUCUCCACCUACCUCUCCUCCCGCAUGCAGACCAUCGCGCCGAACCUGACAACGAUGGUGGGGGAACAGAUUGGUGCCCGACUCAUCCAGAAAGCCGGCUCGCUACUGACGCUUGCCAAGUACCCCUCCUCGACGGUGCAGAUCCUCGGCGCUGAGAAGGCCCUCUUCCGUGCCUUGAAGCAGCGCCAGGCCACCCCCAAGUACGGCAUUCUCUACAACGCCUCCGUGGUGGCCAAGGCGGCCCCGGCGCAGAAGGGCACCAUGUCCCGUGUACUCGCUGCGAAGGCGUCGCUGAGCGCCCGCAUUGACUCUUUCGGCGAGGGCGACAACACGCCUGCCCUAGAGUACCGCAGCAAGGUGGAGAACCGCCUCAAGGCUUUUGAGGAGGGCAUCACGUAUGGCAAGAGUGGCAACGCCCGCGGCGCCGGCGCCGGCUUGGAGCAGCGCGGUAGCUAUGGCGACAGCCAAGGCAACGGCUUCAAGCGCCCGCGCAUGAACACUAGCGGCUUCAACAGCGACCGCGGCGGUCGCGGCGGCGGCGGCGGCUUCAAGCGCUCGCGCCCAGAAAACGGUGGCUACUAGAGGUGAGGAAGUGAAAGGAGAGCGAAAAGCAUUGCUGCGCAUGCAACGCGAGGGAAGGUGUUUUAGCAGGUGGAAGGCUGAGGGGAGGGGGACGGGCCACGAAUGUGCCCCGCAGAUGUUCGCCUCCGGGAUGGUGGCAGCGGGUUUGUGAUCGUCCUCAAUUGUCCGGCCGCAUCUCUGCCUCCUGUCUCCCCUCUGCCCUUGCUGUGUGCGCAGACAUGCGCGUGCAUGAGCAGUGCGUGUGCGCGUGUGUGUGGGGGGGUGGGAUGGCUGAUGUUUUUCUCGUCUCCUCGCCCUCGACUGUCGUGCUCGUUGAUGUUCUCUCUGAUUCUGCGCUUCCGUCGCUGCAAUCAGUCCCCGCCUCUGUGCGUGUCUAUGCGUGUGUGUGUGUGUGUGUGUGUGUGAAGGACAGCGGUUGUGGUCGGUGCUCGUUGUGUCUCAUGAAGACGGUUGCUGGUGCUCUCUCUUCGAAUUUCUUUUUUUUUUGGCUUGGGUGUGUCGCUCUCUCCCUCGCACGUGUUCGCUGUUUGAUAAAGGUUUGAUGACGAUGAUGGCAAUGAUGGCGACGGCGGCAGUCGCCCCUCCCCACGAGCAUCGCCCUCCCCUUGUGUUCUUCCUUCUUCUCUUGUUAAACUCCGCGAUAACUUGGUAACACCUUUUUGUGCCUUCAUCGUGUUGUUCGGCGGCUGAUGCGCCGUGUGCAUGUGCGUGUGUGUGCGCCGAGGACCAAAGUCCACCCUACCCUCGCAGGUGCACAGCUGCCUUUCCCGCGCACCUGCGCACAUCACACACGUACACCGGCGCAUCCACCAUGUUGCCGAAACGACUCUCGUAACUUCCCUCUGUG
This 2405-nucleotide unclassified non-coding RNA is filed under the name Leishmania donovani. RNAcentral describes it as "gene:LdHU3.15.1750(CDS-product:nucleolar_RNA_bind ing_protein_putative)". The record is from RNAcentral. Lineage: Eukaryota; Euglenozoa; Kinetoplastea; Trypanosomatida; Trypanosomatidae.